GGUGAACGCUGGCGGCGUGCCUAAGACAUGCAAGUCGAGCGGGCCGCGGGGUUUUACUCCGUGGUCAGCGGCGGACGGGUGAGUAACGCGUGGGUGACCUACCCGGAAGAGGGGGACAACCCGGGGAAACUCGGGCUAAUCCCCCAUGUGGACCCGCCCCUUGGGGUGUGUCCAAAGGGCUUUUCCCGCUUCCGGAUGGGCCCGCGUCCCAUCAUCUAGUUGGUGGGGUAAUGGCCCACCAAGGCGACGACGGGUAGCCGGCCUGACAGGGGGGGCGGGCACACGGGCACUUGGACACUGGCCCAAGUCCUAGGGGAGGCCGCAGUUAAGAAUCUUCCGCAAUGGGCGCAAGCCUGACGGAGCGACGCCGCUUGGCGGCAGACGCCCUUCGGGGUGUAAACUCCUGAACCCGGGACGAAACCCCCGACGAGGGGACUGACGGUACCGGGGUAAUAGCGCCGGCCAACUCCGUG
Molecule: ribosomal RNA, 473 nt
Filed under: uncultured bacterium
Lineage: Bacteria
Description: partial 16S ribosomal RNA
Rfam family: Bacterial small subunit ribosomal RNA
Source: RNAcentral